UACGUAGGGUGCAAGCGUUGUCCGGAAUUAUUGGGCGUAAAGAGCUCGUAGGCGGUUUGUUGCGUCGGCUGUGAAAUCCCGAGGCUCAACCUCGGGUCUGCAGUCGAUACGAGCAAACUAGAGUGUUGCAGGGGAGACUGGAAUUCCUGGUGUAGCGGUGAAAUGCGCAGAUAUCGGAAGGAACACCAGUAGCGAAGGCGGUACUCUGGGCCGGAACUGACGCUGAGGAGCGAAAGCGUGGGGAGCGAACAGG
RNAcentral lists this ribosomal RNA (253 nucleotides) under uncultured bacterium. Its description in RNAcentral is "partial 16S ribosomal RNA". It matches the Rfam family "Bacterial small subunit ribosomal RNA", at positions 524 to 776 of the family's 1533-position model. The record is from RNAcentral.